GCUCGAAUAGCUCAGUUGGUAGAGUAGAGGUUUGAAAAACCUUUGGUCGUGAGUUCGAGUCUCACUUCGGGCA
This 73-nucleotide transfer RNA is filed under the name Hyaloperonospora arabidopsidis Emoy2. RNAcentral describes it as "Hyaloperonospora arabidopsidis tRNA-Phe for anticodon GAA". It matches the Rfam family "tRNA". Rfam says of the family: Transfer RNA (tRNA) molecules are approximately 80 nucleotides in length. Their secondary structure includes four short double-helical elements and three loops (D, anti-codon, and T loops). Lineage: Eukaryota; Oomycota; Peronosporomycetes; Peronosporales; Peronosporaceae. The record is from Rfam by way of RNAcentral.